UACGUAGGGAGCAAGCGUUGUUCGGAUUUACUGGGCGUAAAGGGCGCGUAGGCGGCGCGGUAAGUCACUUGUGAAAUCUCUGAGCUUAACUCAGAACGGCCAAGUGAUACUGCAGUGCUAGAGUGCAGAAAGGGCAAUCGGAAUUCUUGGUGUAGCGGUGAAAUGCGUAGAUAUCAAGAGGAACACCUGAGGCGAAGGCGGGUUGCUAGGCUGACACUGACGCUGAGGCGCGAAAGCCAGGGGAGCAAAC
This 250-nucleotide ribosomal RNA is filed under the name uncultured bacterium. RNAcentral describes it as "partial 16S ribosomal RNA". It matches the Rfam family "Bacterial small subunit ribosomal RNA", at positions 524 to 773 of the family's 1533-position model. The record is from RNAcentral.